Triticum dicoccoides is the source of this 948-nucleotide long non-coding RNA. RefSeq lists it as uncharacterized. The record is from RefSeq and is a predicted model, not a curated record. Lineage: Eukaryota; Viridiplantae; Streptophyta; Magnoliopsida; Poales; Poaceae. The transcript is spliced from 2 exons.
UAGCUUCUCGAAUCUCCCUGCCUAUUCCCCACCUCCACCAUUCCCCGUUCUCCCUAGCUCAUUUGUUCCUUGCAUUGCCGGCUCAACGCCGCCCCUCGCCGUGGCUCCUGCGUCUCCUCUCAGCCCGGAGUAGGAAUUGAGUGGUCCUCACCUGCGCAGCACGCCUCGGCGAGGUACGUGGUUGUCUCGAGGUAGAGGGUGGCUUAGAGAGGGAGAAGCCGGCAGACAAUGUCAUGAGCUCAGAAGAAUAGGAGGAAGCGAGGCCGCGUGAGGCAGAGGAGAAGAAGCAAUCGAGUGCUCCUCGCUUGCAAGUGAGGCCGCCAAAGCCGGAGGAGAAGAGGAAGCGGCAAGGUAGGGCGUGGUGGUGGCGGGAUCUCCGACAUGCUCACCAUUGGGGAGUGGCGGCGGUCAGAGCUAGCUAGGCGCGGCAAGUCCCCAUGAGAGGUUCACGGUUCAGAUUUCAGACCAUUCACAAGCCGUGCAGGUACCUACUCACCCAAGUGCUACAUCUCCAUGUGUCUAAUCCCCAUUUUUCAGCUAACUGCAAUUCUCACACCAUGUCGGCCCGCGGUUCGACAUGGGACGUUUUGUGCUUCAUCAAGAGCUUCUGCACAGUGAGCCUGACAAAGACGGCCGUCAUGCUUUUCUCCCCUGUCAAGCGGUCAGACUAGAUGGGGGGAUGCAGCGACAGCAAUCUUCGCGGAGCGUGUGGAUACAACUACAUCAAUUGGGAAGGUCAUCUAUAAGCAUUGUUAUAGAUGGUCUAAUCAAGCAGAACAUGUGCUAGCAAAAUUUAGUUAUUGUAAUAAGAUUUAUGUAGUUUGGAUGAACGAACCUCCUGACAAAUAGUUUGGAUGAACGAGCCACAUAUGUGUUGGUCAGUAAGAUCAUAAACGAUGUAUCUAUUAUUUCAGAUUAAUAAAGCUAGUCAUGAUGGUAUUUCUAAAA